CCAUCACCAGAAAUCCUGUGGUUAAAAUAACACAGCCUCUAUUCAGAGCGCAAACUUAGAGCUGCGAGCGGGAGUCACACAACUCUACUGAUGGAUGUGCCCAGCGGGUUCUCGUGGUGCUGCUUCCCAUCCCACUGCUGAUCCAGGAGAGCGUGGCAGGGGCUCUCCUGCCUGCACACAAGUGAUGGAUCUUGUUGGGAAGAGCUUUCUGAUGGCACAGCCGUGAGUGAAACCAACACAAUAUGUUCAGUGUGGAGGAUCUCCUGAUUUCUCAUGGAUACAAAUUGUCUAAAAAUCCCCCUGCUUCUUAUGAGAACAGAUAUGAUGGAUACCGGCAUGAAGCUGCAGCGAACAGAUCUGCUCAGAGGACGCUGAAUGGCUUUGAAGCAGACCCUAGAGCUGCUUAUUGCAAGAAGCCUCUGACGAAAACCAACUCGAGCAGCACUGAAAGCAGCCAUGGGAGCCAAGGGAGACAAGCAGGUCCUGGUUACCACCAUGACCAUCAGGGUUUGUCCACUUUUCAUACUUCAGAAGGGGGGGUUUAUGACAGGCCUCAACUAGCGUGGUCUUCCCAGCCCAAGAGUGAAAAAGAUCUGGCCUACUGGAGAAGGAGAGGGCAGGACUUCAGCGUGCUGCUGGGCUACUCCCAGAAAGGAGUUACAGAAAUGCAAGGUCUGGCCACGGCCCAUGGGGCAUCCAGGCACCCCAAGGAUGCCCAGCUGAAAGUGGGGCUGAGCACAGAGUACGUCAGGAGAAGCGGCUUACCUGAGAGCUGUGAGGGGCCUGGGGACUGUCAAUGGCAGAACAUGAGAACAGAAAGCUGGAACCAGCCAAAAAAGGUAGGACGGCAAAUGUCAGAUGGUGACAGAGAGAAACUGCUCCAAGAGCUGUAUUCACUGACUCUGGGAGAUGAUGUCCUAGGCUCCCACAACAAAGGGAAGUCGCAGUCCCUGCCAAGAGUCCUCAUGCAGGAGAGCAUGAGGUGUGUGGAAAUGCCCUCUCUGACCAACAGCAACAACUCUCUCAGUGUAAGCAAAGCCCCCUCCUAUCCCUCACACAGGCUGACUGUGGAAUCAGCCAAGCACCAUGAAACAGGAGGCCAUUUUCUUCCCCUGGUGAAGCCCAAGUAUGGGAGACCUGUAAAGCCUCCAUCCUAUGAACUGCAGCGACAGGGCAGGACACCUGCCGAAACUGUUGGUUUUCAGGACCACUACCAGAAGGAUGAACCCAUUUCCUAUUUAGCCAAAGCAAGUGAGCCGAGGCAAGAUGCUUGUGUUCAAGACCCUGGUUUGGAGCCCCCAGUCUACGUACCUCCUCCUUCAUACAAAUCCCCGCCUCACCAUGCCACGAGCCCACAUCCUCUCAGUGAAGUGCCUAACAAUGCCACGUAUGCCAGCAGUGAUCAGCAGGACGCUGCGGAGCGGGCCGUUACCUGCCAACGACCAGCUGUGAACAGUGUUGAAAUAGGGGCUGCACCUUGCAAAGACAACCAUCUUCCUCCAGGGAAACAAAGCCAUUCGAGGCGCCCCGCUGACUACCUGCGUUCUGUUCAGUAUAUUCCCUUUGAUGAUCCUCGGAUACGGCAUAUUAAAAUUGCACCACCCGAAGGUCUGCAGGACAACAUUAAAUACAUUGAAAAUGCCCAUAGUCCCAGUUCUGGUACUUCGCAAGAGAAAGAUCUUGAAGUACAGUACAACAGUGCCUUUCUGGAUGCAUCACACUUAUCCGGUUCUGUCAAGGGAGAAAGAACUUCUGACAGCUCUACCCACAGCAGCAGAUGGUUGGCACCGUCCAUCCGAGAUCAGGAAAAUUGUGCCUUGCUGGACCAAAGAGACAGUUAUAGCACAGCUAAUCACAGCCCCUGUAGUGAAGCCAGCACAGAGUACACAAAAGGCAAACUUCUUGUGAGAAACUCACAUAUGGACAGCACCUGUGAGACCAUUACAAAAGUGAAAAAGUUUGAACCUGGAACUGGGAUGCAGAGCAAAAAGAGUUCAAAGAAAAAAAUGAAUGAAACUAUAUUUUGUUUGGUCUCUAUCCCAGUUAAAUCAGAAUCAAAUCUGCCAGAUACAGAUAGGAACAACAACAUAACCCAGAGCCCUGAUAAGAACGGGUUUGAUAACAAUGGGGCUUUGCAAGAACAAAGUCUCUUAAGUAUGUCUUCAACUGACUUGGAGUUACAAGCUCUUACAGGAAGCAUGACCAAUAAAAAUGAGUUACAAAAACAAGAGCUGUGGAGACCAGAAGAGUUCAAACAAAUGAAUGACCUCAGAUUUAUUCAGUCUGCAAAACACAGAGAGCUCAAAUACUCUGGCUCCUGGCCAGGUGAUCAGUACAAAGACCAGCAAACACAGACCAGUUUCUCUGAAGAACAUAAAAACCCACAGAUUUUCCAUGGUACAAAGCCUGGGCAACCCAGCGGUAACAAUUCACUGUCUCCAAAGCAACUAGGAUGUACGGCAUCCGCAGCUGGGUUGAAACAGACAGGGUCACCUUCUGACGACAGAGGCUGCAGACAGGGUGCUUACGGCAUGAAGGGGCAGAUGCACCUCAGCCAGUCCAGCAACAGCGCAUUUUCAAGAACCGCCACCUCUGUCCCACAGGCCUCCUCACCAAAGGGCCACCAGAGCCAGCCCCUGCCUGCCCAGGAGCGGGAAGCUGGCCUUCUUCCCAGGGCUGAUGUAGUUAAGGGAGAAGCAGGAGCUCCUUGCAACAGUAAAGAGCUGUUUGGGCAGUUCCUUCUAAAGCCUGUCAGUCGCCGGCCCUGGGAUGCAAUAAGUGAGCUAGAAAGUUUUAACAAGGAGCUGCAAGGGCAGGAAGAGAGCAUGAGCAGUGAGGAAGAUUUGGAAAGUGCAGGAGCUUCUCCACAGCCACAUGCCCUUCCACAGAGAAGGUCACCUAGAAGUGGGCACCAAGAACCAAAACGUGGUGGGAAGCUGGAAACGGUUGUGCCAGAGGUGCCUGUUUUUAAGUCAGGGAGAGUUAAAAGUAAGUCUGAAAGUUGGAGCACAGGGACAGAGCAUGGCGAUGAGAUGGGCUGCGUUGGCUCUCAAUGCUCUUCGCAGCCAGGAGGGAGCAAUGAAGAAGUCAGACCAGCAGAUGAAAGUCUGAUAACAGAAAUGAGGAUGGGGGAAGCCAAGAAUAAAGCAAACAGCCAGCCAGUUCGUGCAGGACCUAUCAAGAGAUUCUUGUCCAGUAGCCCAAGCAGCUCCUACCACGGUAAUCCUUUCAAUAAUCCUGUCUUACAGGAGAUGAGCGAAGACCAAAAUUACCUGGACUUUGUUAAACUGAGCAAAGGUGCAGCUCCGCAGAGUGAUACAAAAUUUGAGAGAGGCUCAGUAGCAUGCUUGUCCUUAACUAAGAGGAACCAAGGGUGCUCUGAGCCGGAUUUGAGGGCAGUAGGACUUGAUACAGUCCCAGGACCUGGUGCUAGUAAUUCUGAUCACUCUUCAAAUGCAAAUUCAGUGGAAAUCCCUGUGAAUGAAUCCUUGCAGGCAAGAGCUGCAAGAAUUUUAGGCAUAGAAAUAGCAGUGGAAUCUCUCCUUCCAGAUGACCACGUUGAGCCCCAGCCAGGCACAAGGCCUGCAAGCGAUGCCCAUGACUUUGGGUCAUCAGCAGAGAGUGCAGUAAGUAGCAAAGAAGGAAAAAAAGACAGUUCUUAUGAAGGCAGGCGUAAGUGUGGCUGGACAGAGAGUGCUCUCUUUGUUGGAGAGAGGGACCGAUCAUUAUACCCUGAUGAAUUUCAGACCACUCACCAGGAAGGCAGAACGAAAAUGUUGGUGAAGGAACAAGCAUUUGAACAACCUGUGAGUCCCAGCCACGGUGGAGACCAGAACUUGGUGUCUAAACCAACUGUGUGUCAGCACUCAGAAAAGAGAGUGAGGAGCACCUCAAAAGUGAUAGAGACACUACAAGGCAAGCUCACGUCUCCACCAAGCCGGACUGCCAUGGAUCGCUUAGUGAGAAUGAAAGAAGUUGACUCUGUGUCCCGGAUGAGACGUCUGAGCAUUAAAAGUGCAGACUCAGGAGAGGAGGUGGACGAGGAGAAGCUGUCGAAGGUACAUGAGGAGAGAGGAAGCAAACUGGCAACUUCAGGGGCUGUCUCCAAGCGCGUUAUCUCUCUCCGUGAAAAUGGAUGUUUAGGUGGAAUGGACAAGAAGAAAAUUGACAGAGAUUUUUCCUUAGGUAAGAUCCUACUUUGGAAGAUCCAAGGGGGUACUGUUUUCUUAUGUAACAGACACAAUCACUUUGCUUAUGCCCACGUAGUUCUGCUCAAAUAGUAACAGGCUGUAGGUGGUACUGCCCCCAUAUGGAUGCCACCCCCUUUACUCUUCUUAUGGAAGAGGUAACACAAGUGAUCCUAUUUUAGGAAAACUUACUGUAAAACUAACUUGUGAUACUGAAACUCAUUCACAGAGACUGGAGCAGUCCCUGAGGUCUGCUGUCUGUCUAAUUGUUUCGGGGAACUGCCAGCUUCAAAUAGCUCAGUUCAAAGAUAGUCACUCUUGUGCCAGUGUUUGGGAACACGUGGUGAUUUAAUCACAGCCUCUCCUCAAAUCCCUGAUUUUCCAUCUCCAAUACUUAAGUAGACCCAUACUGUAUCAGAGUUCAGAAAGAACUAAAAAUAAAAAUCUGAUGUUCUUCUGUGAAGCCUCUGGGAAAUGGCUCCAUUAAGGGGCCUGGAAAAUUCUCUCUCAUGAAUAUUUUCCAGAUCACAUGUUGAGCACAACUGUUAUCCCCAGGUCAAAUGGAAAGUUGACUUUUUCAGUGAAUGCCUUUUUUUUUUUUUCCUGGUGUUUGUGUUCCUCACCUCUCAAAAGCACAUAAACUUGGAUAGACCGCGUGCAUCCCCGAAGUAACGUGAGCUGCUCUCUCUCCACACCAGUUUUCAUAUGGCAUUGUACUGAGCAAUUGAAAAUCAGUCGUUGCCAUAGAUCUGCGUAAAGAGAUGAAUAUCCCAGGCCACCUGCCUAGUUCAUUAAAUUAAUUGGAGUGAGCCAGUGCAUAGUGUGAAAGUUGUUAAAUUAAUAUUAAUCUUCUCUCUUUUUCUAUCCUCUUUGUAACAUCCGCCACUCUAUCUUGAAACUCACACAGGUUAUUCAUUAAACUCCAUCAAUGUGAAUCUAUUUACAGUUUUUCGGUACAAAGGGACUGAAACUAAACUGAGCAUACUUUAAAGGGAAUGUAUGUAUUUAUUUCUGAAGGUAAAUGUUUAUGCGAGUUCUAAGCAUUGACUCUUCCAGUCUUGCAGUCUUUUCCUUUGCAUCUUUUUUUAUAUCCCACAGCUCUGCAUCUCUUCCUGCUCUGAACCGUAUUUCUCUAGAGCAGGUUUUCUAAACAGGCUAAUUCAGAUUCCAUGUAUCCAUCAGAUCUAGUGUGCCCCACAUGGAUCUCAUAUGCUUUCCUGCCUCGGGGCUUCUGCUGGAGUGAAGAAAAUAACCGUUGUGGUGACAUGACUUCAUGGAUCCAUGAAAACAGAUUGCGUGUAUUUUAUUGGAGCCUUGUACUCAGAAUUAUUCUGCAGCAAAUUAGGUCUAGUUUUGGUCUUCUUACUGACAAUACUAAGCUUGUAGUCUGAAGUGUGUGCCCAUCACAGUAGUUUCUUUUAACAUCUUCCCCCAUGUCUGCAUCAUGGCCAUCCUUUCCUGCUGCACACAUCCAGCACUGCAGGGUAACACACAUGGUAGAAACAAUCCCCUCCACUGGCUUCCUCCCAUCCAAAGAGACUGACUUGCUGGCAGCCACAAGAUCUUCACCUUGCCUUAGUGAGGCAGGACAGAAGAUUUAUGCUUAUAGAAGGGCCCGAUGUUUGUCAACUUCAUUAACUCUCACUCCAUCUUCCAGACUAUCUCACAGAUACCAGUGAAAGCCAAAGUGAGAACUUGUCUUGAAAAAGCACUGGUGUGUGUUCCUUUCAGGGAGUAAAUAUUUCUGAAGUCCAUUCUAUUUGGAGUGAACUAGGGUGAUGUUAGUCUUAUAAUUGCAGACUGGGCCUCUCUUAGAGACUCAGAGGCCUUAGAAGAAACAGGCUUUCACAUGUAUAAUGUAGCUUGGCAGAUGAACAGUCAUCUCAGAGUAAGAGCUGAUCUUACUAUGCAAAUAGUGCCAUUUGAAGAACAUCUCCAAAUGUUCCCAAAUCCGCUGGCUGUUUUUUUCUUCCUUGCUGUUUGAAGACUGCUUCCGUGAGGCUACUGAUCUGGCCUUGUUUCUGUAGAGAGCAUUGCAAAUUAGCUUAACCAAAUGCUGAAGAAAUGUUUGUGCAUCAAUGCAGGAACUCCAGUAUUUGCCCUUCUAGAGUUCUGACAUUGCCACGAGUCUUCUUAGCAGCCUGGAUCCUUGGGAUCCUUGGUUUAGAUGCUGAAGUUAGCUUUUAAGGAAUAAUCUGGGCUGUGCAGAAGUCUUGAGGCCUUAGUUUCUCACCCCACUCCCCCAGACAUUGAGCUCCUUCAACUAUGGUGAGUUCUCACAUUGUGAAUGAGUCCAAAAACUGGGCCAGGGAGGCCUUGGGAGAACUUAGUUUCUGAAAUGUUAAUCUGUUUUUAUUCAUAGGUCAGCCUCAUGCAGAGCAGUUCGAAACUGUUGUGUGUUUUUAUAUUGUAGAUGGAGAAAACAUUUGUAAUUGCAACUGAAAUAGUAUCUUCUCAUGUGUCCAAUGCACUAAGCUUAGAUGCAGCGCUGAGUGCUGAGUGCUGAGUGCACCAGCCCUCAAACACUAUGUUCCUUAGUCAACGUGGUGUCUGUCCUUGAAGUUUGGAAAUGCCAGCAGAGGCUGAAUGGUGAUAAGCAGUUCUGAAAACAUAGGAGCUGCUGGCACAGAGUCCUUCCUUGGCUGGCCUAUCAGUGUGAGCAGAGUGGAAUUACAGAUCCCACCCCAGCGCCCACUAGGGCCAAAGUUCUUUCUUAGCCAGUCUCUUGAUAUCCAUGAUGCUGCAGAGGGACACACAUAGAAGUCAAAAAAUUCCCUCUGAGGAUUUUUAUGCUUGUUUGAAUGAAGACGUUCACUCAUAUCAAUGUAAAACUCCUCAGGGAGAACAUUUUACUCUCAAGUGUGAUAUUUAUGGGUCCAACUAUUUUCAUGCUUAACUGUAUAAAAGCAAGUGCUAUGGGAGUAUUGCCUGCGGGAGGGACUUUUAAGGUUAGCACAGAUACCCAAGUUACACAGGCACAGCAGGUAGCAUAGGCUACAGUGCUGGGUUGUCCAGACCCCUGUGGGGAUACAGAUGCAUCCCAAGGUGUUUGGGGUAAGGCAGGCAUGUGCAGGGCAGGCAGAUCUCAGAAGGCAAAGCCCUUUCAUUGCAAUCCUCUUCCAGAAUCACAAGGAUGUGGGAUGAAAGAGAAGAGGCUUGUGUCUGUUCGUUGCAUGGCCAAUCUCAGAAAUGCAAAGUGAGGUCUAUCCUGUGACCUAGCGAGACACAUAUGACCCCACCAAAGUUGAAAAGGUGUGAGAUGAACAGAGAAGAGAAUAAAGAUGCCUGCUCUACCAAGAAUGUUUCA
Non-coding RNA from Coturnix japonica (Japanese quail), 7494 nucleotides. NCBI's taxonomy places the organism in Eukaryota, Metazoa, Chordata, Aves, Galliformes, Phasianidae. The record is from RefSeq and is a predicted model, not a curated record.